AGAUGCUUAACUGACUGAGCCACGAAGACUCUUACCGCUAUGUUCCUUUCUGAGAAGACAGAUUAUGUGGACAGAAACCAUUCAGGCAACCCAAGAUGUUCCUCACAAGCCUCCAUUAUUGAAGAAGUCCUGGAAUGGAAAGAGGAAGUUCACUUCUGAUACCUGUG
Mustela erminea (ermine) is the source of this 167-nucleotide long non-coding RNA. RefSeq lists it as uncharacterized. The record is from RefSeq and is a predicted model, not a curated record. Lineage: Eukaryota; Metazoa; Chordata; Mammalia; Carnivora; Mustelidae. The transcript has 3 exons.